Molecule: signal recognition particle RNA, 97 nt
Filed under: Flaviflexus sp.
Lineage: Bacteria; Bacillati; Actinomycetota; Actinomycetes; Actinomycetales; Actinomycetaceae
Description: signal recognition particle sRNA small type
Rfam family: Bacterial small signal recognition particle RNA
About the family: The signal recognition particle (SRP) is a universally conserved ribonucleoprotein involved in the co-translational targeting of proteins to membranes. Archaeal SRP consists of a 7S RNA and homologues of the eukaryotic SRP19 and SRP54 proteins.
Source: RNAcentral
GAUGGCUCCCCACGUGACGUCAUCGCGCGGAACUCCCCCAGGGUCGGAAGGCAGCAAGGGUACGCGGGCUCUGACGGGUGCGUGGGGAGUCUUGUCU